AAGCUCACAUAUUCUCAUUUUCACCGCCGCAUUAUUUCCCCACUUUUGCUUCAAAGUUGGGAACAACGCAAAGCGUAAAAAAUAUAUUAAUAUUGAAAAGUUUAUAAAUUACCACUGUGACCAUGGACGACCUUUCACGUGGUGAUGAAAUAGUUGAAAAGGAAGACUCAAGAAGAGGGGAGGAGCAAGUUGAUGAGUUGGAGAGGUCACAGGCCACGAGUGAUGACGGAAGAUCAAAGAGCUCGCAAGAGAGCGCAAAAAGGGCACACGAGCUCCGAGUAUAGGUUAAGUGAUGAGCAAGGUUCCAGAAAAAGCAAAGGGACUCGGAGUACGAACUUAAUGACGACCAGAGAGCUCGCAAAAGGCAGAUAAAUUCUGAAUAUGAGCUAAAUAAAGAUCAGAGGGCUCGCAAAAAUGAGAGAAAUUCUGAAUAUGAGCUAAAUGAAGUGAGCCAGCUCGUAAAAGGCAGAGAAAUUCUGAAUAUGAGCUAAAUGAUGAUCAAAGAGCACGCAAAAGGCAGAGAAACUCUGAAUAUGAACUAAAUGAGGUGCAGGCAGCUCGUAAAAGGCACAGAAACUCAGAAACACUCAACGCCCAGCGUGCAAUGAUGGCAGAAGACAGCUUGUUUGCUCAAAGGCAGAGAGAAAGAGCUCGUGAGCGAUAAAGGGCAUCUAGACUCAGGAGAAAACAACAGAGACAGUCCUCCUCAACUACUUCUACCGCUGUCGUUGGGCAUACAGGUAGUCACCAAGAUGCUUGUGAGACGGACUUGUCAACUCAAGGUUCAGUUGUUGGUCAAGCAUGCAGCAGUUCGCCUACACCCUUUGUACCUGUAUGCAUAGGGGAUACUGCUGCUCUAAGGCUAGUAUCAGCUGAACCAAGCCAGGAAAGCCCUGUGGGGUUUUCCUGGAUGCAGAUGACUCUACGGUCUAUGGAAUACUUCUCCCUGAACCAGGAGUGAAUGUAAGGGACCUUCUUCACUGAUUAGUGAAGAAGGAAACAACGGUCAUACUCAAGGUGAAGAAAACAACGAGGGUGCAGAGCGCCAACGACAGGAUAACAACGCUCAAAGGAAUGGUGCCCCAUACCGUUCCACGAUAACUUGUCGUGGAACGCUCAUGUGAAAGAGGUAGUCAAGAAAUCGAGCAAAAAGCUAUACUUUUUAAUCCAACUAAAAAGGGCUCUGCUACCCCCCUCAGACUUAUCUUUAUUUUACAAAGCUUGCAUUCGUUCGGCCGUCGACUAUGCGGUGCCGGUUUUUCAUAACGCCCUGCCGCAGUAACUAAAAAAUGAGCUCGAACGUAUCGAGUAAAGGGCGCUAUCUAUAAUUUUGCCCCGUACGAGCUACGAUGGUGCUUGUGAUUUCUCGGGCAUAACACCAUCAGAAGUGCUCCACGGCCUAAUUUGCAGCAAGCUCUUCGACGAAAUAGUUUCUGAUCCGAAUCAUAAACUAAAGAGCUUGCUGCCUCCAUUAAACGUUUCAAGCCAUAACCUUAGAAAAAAACGGCCCUUUGCCUUGCCCCGCCUCAAAACAAACAGAGCCAUGAAUUCUUUUACAUUCUCGAUGGCCAACAAAUCUUAAAUGGAGAGUAUAUAUGGUUUUUAUGGAUUAUGAUUAAUCUUAUAUAGGAUGAACUUUAUCACGUUUUUAAAUUUUUAUAUUUUAUAUUUAUUAUUGUAUAUAGUUAAAUUUAUUAUAGUUAUAAUAUAGUAUCUAUUGUUUUGUAAAUGCCUAAUUCAGCCUAUGGGCUGCUACGCAAUUUUUUUCCUAAUAAACUAUCUGACCUGUCAGAUAGUUUAUUAGAUGUUUUACCUAAUAAACUAUCUGACCUGUCAUUGCAUGGCCAUCAACUAAUGAGACUCCCGCAUCAGAGUUUACCACACCAUAUUUAUUCACCAUGGCCUUCCCCUGCUUAUUCCCAUAUGGACUUGGUGACUUCCAUAUAAACAGACCCAGGACAGCCUCCCAUCUCCACGAGUGGGCUGAGCAUCUGGAGUGGUACAAGGAUGGAAGGUUCAUCAAGCACAAGGUGUGGAAGUUCGUGGUCCAUAACAUGAUCAUGAGGAAGCGAGCGCUGGAACAGAGUAGAACCUAUGUUGACCAGCAGCUUGGUGAUCCCCACAUGUGGCUGACUUGCUGACUGUGGCUGACUUGCAAGAGCGCAUGGCAAGAGGAGACACCACCAUCGCCAACAAGCUCUUGUACUUUGGUGCAAGCCUCAGAGGGACAUCACAGUAUUGGGACCAGCGUCGUCGAGAACCUAGAGCGAUGGUGCAGUGCAUGGUCAACGAGAAACGUGGGCUUCCAUCGUUUUUCAUGACUGGUAGUUGUGCAGAGUUCUACUGGCCUCCACUGCGACGACUAUUAGAGCAGUAUAUCCUUGAGACAACUGGGGAGACGGUAAACUUGCUUGAAGACAGCAAUGCUCGUUACAAGGCAGUUCAAGAGAAUACCCAUCUGGUUGUGAGUUACUUUGAUAUGCGAACUCGGUCAUAUCAUAAGAAUGUUGUGAAACUUGUGUUCGGAGUAAAUGACUACUGGUACAGGUACGAGUUUGCAAAGUCACGUGGACAAAUCCACUGGCAUCAGUUGAGCUGGAGAGAAGAUCGCCAGCCCCAUGUGCUCCUUCACCAAGCUGUACAAGAGGAGUGCCCGAAACCAGAGAGAGUGCGCAGGCUGAAUGAGUGGGUGGAGGACAACUUUGACAUGAGCGCCUCCCACCUAGCCGGUAAAGACGAGGAUGGGGAAUCAAGAAAGGAGUUGUGGCUCCCACCAGUAGGAACUGCUAAGCCGGUGUCUGAGGACAGUGAUCCUUUGGUUAGAUGCUGCUAGACGUAGAUGCAACGCAGAAGGCUAUGCUUGAAGACCAUCUGAACCUUGUGAACCGCGUAGGGCUUCACACCUGCUCAGACUAUUGUCUUCGUACACCUCGCCAUGCUGAGCCUGGUAUGCAACCUAAAGAGCGUAUCUGCCGUAUAGAGUUUGACUCAGAGUAUCACCGCGGUAAACCAAGAAGGGAAGAACCAGACAUUGUUGCAUAUCGCAAUGGGGCCGAACGUCUAGAGAUGGCAAGAGAUCACACAAGAGUCGUACAGCACUCGAGGUUUAACCUGCAGUCCUGGAGAGCAAACUGCGACUUGAGUGUGAUACUGUCAAACUCACCGCCUGACAACCCAAGCACUGAUGACAUCAUAGCCAUAGUACACUAUGUUUUUGCGUAUGCAUGCAAAGGAAAUGAGCCGACAGCAGCAACUGAAGACCUCUUCGAGGACAUGGUAAAUGCAGUUGAUUCUGCAGAUGAAGUGUCUGGUAGAUCUGUUUGUGCAAAAAUGCUGAUGAAAACAGUUGGUAGUAGAGAUGUUAGUGGACCAGAGGCCUUGUCCGAACUCAGUGGACUUCCUCUUUGGCGAUCCACUCCUCUUUAGCGAUCCAGUUCUCAUAUCUGUCGAUGAAGGGUUCCCGCCAUCUUGAGAGAAAUGGGGACACAGCUACAUCCAGCACAGCAUUAGACAAGUAUCUGGCUAGACCUCGUGAUGAAGUGUGCUCCUGGUACAAGUUUGCAUGCAAGAAUGGAAAAGUCCCAGUCGUUAGUGGUGGCUCCACCUAUGAUACAUGGCCGCUCCAGGGGGACUUUUGCAGAACCAUGAUGCUACUUCACUGGCCAAACUGGUUCAGUCUAGAUGAGUUGGAGUCUGUAGAUGAGACCUCGAAAGAUGCAUUUUCAAGGUUCGUUACCACAGACCAGUGCCCUAUGUUCGUGAAAGCUCUUGUAGUGAAGGCCUCACCGCAAGCUGAAGGUGCAAGGAAGCAGGCAUAUGAAUCUGAUGAUGAAGAUGAGCAAGCAGAUGCAGAAGAGCAACCAGACUGGGUUGACGUCUAUGCUGGACCAAACCAGAUGUACGAGGGCGUGGAAGAGUUCCAGUAUGAUGAUGGAGGUGAGGACUUUGACUGGAGCAGUAGUAUGGUAGCAAUUCCAGAAAAGCUUAUCCCAAAGUCUGGCUUGAGAAACAAAUCGAAGAAGAUGAAAAUGCAGAGAAUGGAGGCCUUAUGCUACCAGAUGUGUCAUCUCUAACGCUGAAUGAAGAGCAGAGAUCAAUCGUGAGCCUCAUACUGCUGACGCUGAAGAGGUAUUUAGAGCAAGGAGAUGAUUACAUUCCCUUGAGGCUAGUGGUGUCAGGCACUGGAGGCACAGGAAAAUCUUACAUGAUCAAGUGCAUUCAAAGGCUGGUCCGACAGGUGUUCGGCAAGAAUGAUGCAGUGCAGGUUGUUACACCAACAGGAAACACAGCGUUUCUGGUGCAGGGUACUACAGCUCACAGUUUUCUGUCGAUACCGACUGGCGGGAGAUCAUGCAACGAGCUCACAGUGCCAGCUGGUAAUGUACUGAGGAAGUUGCAGGACAAGUGCAAGAACCUGGCUGUCCUUAUUGGAGAUGAGCGAUCCAUGGUUGGAUGUACGAUGAUAGGCUGGAUGGAACAGCAUAUGAGGUUUGGGAGGAACGAAGGAGCAACCUCUCAGCAGCUCUGGGGAGGCAUCCCUGUUUUAGUGCUGAUGGGGGAUGAUGUACAGCUUCCACCUGUUCUCGACACCCCCACAUACAUCCCAGAGUCACGUAACGCCCAAUCCAACCAUGGUCGCCUAGUGUGGACGAUGUUUGAUGCUGCCGCUGAACUGACGCAAAUCAUCAGGCAGGCAGAGUCUGAACGUCAACUGAGAGAUGGGCUGACAUCUCUGCGAACAUACUCCACCACCACAGAGCCAGGUGCACUGGCUCCAACAGUUUCAGUGGCAUAACCUGCGCCGAACACAUGGUGACGAGCUUCUCCAGAGAAUGGAUGACGAAGGCCUAUUUGUCUUCCCUACCCAUCGCCUGGAAUGGGGCAGGAACAAGACAAAGAUCCUGGAGUGCAAUCGCAUUCCAGGCCAUCCAGUUGCCAACAUGAACGCGGAGAACCAUGGUAACCAUGCUCAGAAGGCAGAUAGCAACAAAGCAGGUGGUCUGCUGCCUCAUCUCUACUCUGCCGUGAUAGCAAGGUAAUGUUGGUAGCUAACCUAAAGGCUACAUGGGGGCUUUUCAAUGGUGCUGUAGGUCGAGUUGUGGAUAUCGUGUAUCUCAACGGACGUAGACAACAGAUGAUCCACCACCGCUUCCUGACUAUGUGAUGGUCCGGUUCACGAGCUACACUGGACCAGCAUUCGUGGCAGAUGACACACAAGUGGUGCCGAUUGUUCCUGUGAGUCGUUCUAUUGAAUGUGCAUGUAGGUUGUACCUAUUGUUCCUGUGAGUCGUUCUAUUGAAUGUACAUGUAGGUUGUACCUAUUGUUCCUGUGAGUCGUUCUAUUGAAUGUGCAUGUAGGUUGUACCUAUUGUUCCUGUGAGUCGUUCUAUUGAAUGUGCCUGUAGGUUAAACCUAUUGUUCCUGCGAGUCGUUCUAUCGAAUGUGCAUGUAGGUUGUACCUAUUGUUCCUGUGAGUCGUUCUAUCGAGUGUGCAUGUAGGUGCACACGUGUGCAGGUUCCCUUGAGACUGGCAUGGGGGAUGACUAUCCACAAAUGCCAAGGUAUGACCGUAGGGGAGGGGGAACCGUUUAGGUAUGUUGUUAUCCAUCCUGGUAAGUAUGCUUUUGAAGCAAAGAAUCCAGGAGCAUUGUUCGUUGCUUUGUCACGAGCAAAGUCAGCUGGGGGCCAGGGUACUGACCCAGAUUUUGCCUUCAAUGAGGAUGUUCUCAUCAAUGAGGAUAGAUUCCGACCAGUGGACUCUCGAACAACCAGGGCCCGUGCAUUCGAGAUGGAGAGACUUCAACGCCUUUCUGAGCAGUGCCAGCGCCGUCAUGAGUUUGCAGAUGCAUACCACAGGGACACCUUCCUGGAGCUUGUGUAGUGGGCAGAAGGAUAUCACCACGAAGAGUGAUGUAAUGGGAUGUUCACGUCAAGUUGCUACCAGGUUCAUCUUGGCAUGAGCAAUGAGAUGUGAGAUGUUUCACACUCUAAUGGACCUGUACGAGAGGUCCAUUAGACCGGAAAUUAGUUUCACUUCCAUGCCAUCGUUCUUUUGCUUGCCUGGAAGAAUCGUCCAUGAAGGCCUUCAAUAGCUGGGAUUACAAGGUAAUAACUAUGUAACAGUGCUCAUGCUAGUCAUGCCUAAAAGCCUGGAGCACUAAACCAGCAGGUUAGCAAGGCAGAUAGUAAUGUAGUAAUGUUGUGGCAAACAUGUCCGUCAGCAUUGCUGCACAGUUCUGACCCGGCAUGGGGGUCAGGUAUACACUGAAACUAGCAAAAUGGGAAAAAUUGCUCUGAAUAGUCAACUCCUAACAUUUUGGGCAAAGGGCUGGUGUAAUGGAGACUGGAUUACUGCUCAGAGCUGGCAGGACUUAGAGCAAUUAAUUAUUGCUUGGUUUCAGUGUCAACUUCCUGGAAAGGGCAGACACAGUAGCUGGCUGGUUAAUGAGAUGAUAGUAAUCGUUGAAACAGUUUCUUACACAAAGUUGACUCUUUGCAGUCAAUGGCAGACCACCUUUGUUGUCCAAGUUGGGCAAGGCUAGCGUGUGAAUAGUAGUCACUGUAUUACUUGGCAGUUGCAUGGUCUACAGGCCAUCUACUGCAGCUAGCGAGCUGGAAUGCUGAUAGUAAUCACCUAGAUGGUUACUGAGGCAGUGAUAACCACUGCUGGCAGCCAGCGGAAGGUGGGAUAUAGACCGAUCCAUUUUCAAUUCUUUUAUCUCAUUUUCUUUUACAAAUGCCAAAAUGCAAGUACUUUAGUCAGCAAAGAAGUUGAAAACAAACAUGGACAUGGUAUUUAUUGCUCAUACAGCAUCGAAUAUGGUUGAAUUCAGUUAUUUUUUUCUAGUGUAACAAGUCUAUUGAAUUAUUUUUUAAUCUUAAUUAUAAGCUCCUUUCACUCUUUACUGCUCUUCUGAGGGUCGGUCUUUUGCCCGUAAGGGCAGGGCUGGUUGAUGCAGUGUCGACUCUUCAUUGAGGUCAAUACACUGUGACCAGCAAGUCUGUACUUUGUACUUCAAACUUUUCCUCUUUAACUUUGUUAAACACAUGAUAGAAUUUAUACAUCCCCAAUCAUAUGUAAAUAAUGAUGAGGUAAUAUAGAGCUUGAAAAGUGUGCCAAUUCAAGAACCAUUGAACAUUGGCAAUCCAAAGCCUACAAGUAGAGCAAAGAUAAAUAAAAUGACAAGCAACAAGCAAGCUAAAAGAAAUCUGCAAACCUCUCCUUAACAAGAGUGCCCUCAAAGAACACAAUAACAGGUGAUCACAAAUAUUAGCAUGUGGUUUAUUAUGUUCAUUGUUGUUUAUGGCACUUUGUACAACCUUUUUUACAAACUGCAUAGGUACUCUUGCGUGCACAGGAGGUCAAUAUUGGUAAAGUAUUAUCUCAACAUGGAGGAAAGAAAUUUAAAUGGAUGAUUGAACAUUUUGUAAGCUGUUUUAAAAUACUGUAACUGUUACAUCACAUGAUAAUUUAACUUCUUUGAUAUAUUUUCUAUGAGAAUUUCAGUGUUACAUAAAGACAUCUGGGAGCCUAUUUUUUCUUCUAGUCAAUGCCUAUAACAACAAGGGAACAGGAUUUCAGUGUUACACAAAGACUAUAGGAGUCUGUUCUUUCAACUAGUCAAUGUCUAUAACAACAAAACAACAGCAAAGGCAUGAUGCCACCAAAGCAAGGCAUUAUGAAAAGUGCAUAUUAUCCGCUUUACAGGAAGACAACUUCUGGGGUCCUUGACAGACACAAAAGUAAUGCAUUGUGGGCAUGGGAUUAUUUAUCCGCUUUACAGGAGGAAAACCACAGAAGUCCUUGACAGUAAUUGAUUUUAACUAAUGAAAUGUGGGAUUCUGUUCUGUCAUAUGCUUGAAUAACAACAAAACAGUUUAUAAGGAUGCUUGCUGGUAUAACUACAUUAGAUGGUUGAUGCAACAUCUGGCAAUAUUUCUUCAAAGUACUCAUAAAGCCAUAACGACCACUUAUUUGGUUCAAAAUGUUAUUGGGAUAGCUUUAAUUGGAUCACUUUUCUUGCUUUUAGACAAGUGUAAAUAUAAAUAUAGGGCUCUAACCCUCGGAGCAGUUUAAUGCAUUGCAUUCGGUCGAGGAGUAAGUUUUCAGUGUAUUUUUCCCAAAACGGUUUUAUCUGUUUUUUUUUUCGUACCGGGCAAUGUAUCAAUAGUCUGUAUUACAUUUUUUUUCCAAUGGGGAACAAUUUUGUAAAAUACAAUCUUAGCUAAUAUUCAAAUAUAGUUGAUAUUAUAGAUGAGCACUUUUGUCAAAUUUGUGUCACUUAAUAAAGUGUUACUACAGAAA
Molecule: long non-coding RNA, 8305 nt
Organism: Nematostella vectensis (starlet sea anemone)
Lineage: Eukaryota; Metazoa; Cnidaria; Anthozoa; Actiniaria; Edwardsiidae
Exons: 13
Source: RefSeq, a predicted model, not a curated record